This 433-nucleotide ribosomal RNA is filed under the name uncultured bacterium. RNAcentral describes it as "partial 16S ribosomal RNA". It matches the Rfam family "Bacterial small subunit ribosomal RNA", at positions 29 to 507 of the family's 1533-position model. The record is from RNAcentral.
AACGAACGCUGGCGGCAUGCCUAACACAUGCAAGUCGAACGAGACCUUCGGGUCUAGUGGCGCACGGGUGCGUAACGCGUGGGAACCUGCCCUUAGGUUCGGAAUAACUCCCCGAAAGGGGCGCUAAUACCGGAUAAUGUCUUCGGACCAAAGAUUUAUCGCCUUUGGAUGGGCCCGCGUUGGAUUAGCUAGUUGGUAGGGUAAAAGCCUACCAAGGCGACGAUCCAUAGCUGGUCUGAGAGGAUGAUCAGCCACACUGGGACUGAGACACGGCCCAGACUCCUACGGGAGGCAGCAGUGGGGAAUAUUGGACGAUGGGCGAAAGCCUGAUCCAGCAAUGCCGCGUGAGUGAUGAAGGCCUUAGGGUUGUAAAGCUCUUUUACCCGGGAUGAUAAUGACAGUACCGGGAGAAUAAGCUCCGGCUAACUCCGUG